Molecule: long non-coding RNA, 619 nt
Organism: Acanthochromis polyacanthus (spiny chromis)
Lineage: Eukaryota; Metazoa; Chordata; Actinopteri; Pomacentridae
Exons: 4
Source: RefSeq, a predicted model, not a curated record
UUUGCCGCAGGACAUGAAACUGGAAUUCUUCAUUUGAUCAGGAUAUUGUUUUAAAUUGAAUGUGGUUUGUGGGUGUAGUACACACGUAUUUCUAGGGGGCGGUAACGCGCCAGAAUGGUGGUUGCACCUGCCUGACCUAGAAAAUGAAAGAAGACGGAGGAUUGAUACGAAAAAGGUCGAAGUGGCGGCAAAAGUGAAGAGACGGAGGACAGUAACCAGCACAACCUCACUGUUUUCAGAGAGCCCGUGGCACGAAAAGCAACUUUUGUAGUUCUCCCAAGGAUUACGUCUGAAGCAGACAGAUCUUAUUGAAGAUGGUGUUACAGGCAGUAGCAGGACCUUAACCAAGAUGGCUUCAUCUCUGAGAAAAGUCUGCAGUCGUGCUGUGUGCAAACUUUGAGUUCAAUGUCAAAUGAAAGUUGGUGGCCAUCAUUGCUUUGUUAUGCUGGACGAAAGCAAGUUCUCACACAAAAGAAAGUACAACCAGGGGAGAAUGGGACCAGCAUGGAGACGGAAUAAAAAAUGGGUAUUUGGUAUGCUGGAAGUUGCGCAGACCACCAGGAGACCCAUUUUCAAGAUCCUCGCAAAGCGUUCCAAAGAGCAGCUUCUUCCCAUCAUA